Molecule: long non-coding RNA, 808 nt
Organism: Cyprinus carpio carpio
Lineage: Eukaryota; Metazoa; Chordata; Actinopteri; Cypriniformes; Cyprinidae
Source: Ensembl
GGAGCUUUUGUUGUCCAGUACAGCUCAGAUAGAGGAUAGAACGACAUUGUACAAAGCAUCUUCCAAUGACAACAGUUCCCGCACGAUCUUCUAUGCACGAAGCUCUGCAUUAGGCUAUAAUUGGACAAAGUAUUGACAUGCGAAUCACAGAGCAGUGAGUUGGCUAAUGGCUUCCUGUCUGUGUUUCCUCUCUGCAUGGAGGGAAUCGUGCAAAACCACACCGGCCCAUGGCUGUCUUCACUAUGUUAUUGCAUGGCACGCAAUGCAAUCUAAUCUGCUGCUGCAGGCCUACUAACCUGCCUGCUAAAUAAUAAACACCACUGGACAGCAGCCUGCAAGGCCACGUAUAAUCCAGUCUUUUAACAGCUUUGUCAUUGAUGCUACUGCACCACAUGGUCUCAAAUGCCUCCAUUUUCCUGGAAGAGUAAGACGGAUUGCUGUGAGAGACAGAGACAGAGACAGGCGAAGACAAAGGGAGAAAGAAGGACGGCAUCUGCUGAGAGAGAUGUCAUACAGGUGGGUCUUGAAAGACAGAGGUCAAAUCUGACACAGACAGGCAGUCAAGUGAGCACCAGUGAUGAAGGAGAGGAGCAGCCCUGUCCUGUUUUCUGUCCUCAAUUGAUAUGAUUCGUACUCUGGUUAAAAAAAAAUGGUGAGAGACGAAUAAAUGUUGUAAAACGUGUUGAUGUGAAUCAAUGAAUCUUGAAUUAGCAAAAAACUUAGUAGAGCUUGUAAAACCUGUUAACUGUCAGUUUUCAUACUCGACUAAAUCUUUUACAGUUUUAUAUUGAAAUACAUUUUUGUCCCU